GAACGCUGGCGGCGUGCCUAAUACAUGCAAGUCGAACGAGGGUAGCAAUACUCGAGUGGCGAACGGGUGAGUAACACGUAGGUAACCUGCUUACAGUUUGGGAUACCCGAGGGAAACCUUGGCUAAUACCGAAUAAUUCUUCUGAAGGCAUCUUCGGAAGCUAAAAGGGGCCUUUAAAGCCUCGCUGAAUGAUGGACCUGCGGCGCAUUAGCUAGUUGGUGAGAUAAUAGCCCACCAAGGCGAGGAUGCGUAGCCGACCUAAGAGGGUGAACGGCCACACUGGAACUGAGACACGGUCCAGACUCCUACGGGAGGCAGCAGUAGGGAGUUUUCGGCAAUGGGGGAAACCCUGACCGAGCAACGCCGCGUGAACGAUGAAAGGUCUUCGGAUUGUAAAGUUCUGUUAUAAGGGAAGAAUGAUAGCUUGAGGAAAUGCUAGUUAUUUGACGGUACCUUAUUAGAAAGCCACGGCUAACUACGUGCCAGCAGCAGC
RNAcentral lists this ribosomal RNA (493 nucleotides) under uncultured bacterium. RNAcentral's name for it is "bacterial SSU rRNA". It matches the Rfam family "Bacterial small subunit ribosomal RNA", at positions 31 to 518 of the family's 1533-position model. The record is from RNAcentral.